This is a long non-coding RNA of Dreissena polymorpha, 511 nucleotides long. RefSeq lists it as uncharacterized. The transcript has 3 exons. NCBI's taxonomy places the organism in Eukaryota, Metazoa, Mollusca, Bivalvia, Myida, Dreissenidae. The record is from RefSeq and is a predicted model, not a curated record.
UUUCAGCCCAUUGGAAUUCUUACUAUGGUGCAACAUAUAGGAGAAGAUCCCCGCUUCCAUGGGGAGGAAUGCCGACGUUGGCAGACAUGUGGUGUGCCUACUGUAUGCAGUUUUAUUGGUUUGAGUGCGUGAAACGUUACUGCGCCAGCGCCCCACGUCGACACGGUACCAGAUGGAUGUACCCUGUCAACGAUAUCAGGAUUUUCGGUUAUGAAAGAGUGGGGUGGGGAAAUAGGGGCAUCAACUUUGAUCGUUUUCAAUUACAGUUGUGAGCUACUAACUUUGUAUGACGUAAUGCCGGUUAAAUAAACAGGUUAAAAUAUUUGUUUUCAAAGAUAAGACAAUAACGCCGUCAUGAUGAAGUGUAUGUGUCAGAUUUAAAUUUAAUGGUUUUGAUCAUUAUGUUUUAAAUCGAACUCAAUCAUUAAAAUCAAGCAAACGGAAGUCCGGUGGAAUUAUUGUUUACAUUCGAAAUGAACUCACUAGCAAAGAUACUUUAGUGUUUACAAGC